CGGUGUUUAACUGGCGUGAUGUGGGACGUCCUACCGGUGGGCUUAGCCUCGCGAGGGGCGGCCCAACUAAUAUCCCGUCGCGGUGCUCUUUACUGAGUGUCGAGUCGGGCCGGUACGUUUACUUUGAACAAAUUAGAGUGCUUAAAGCAGGCUAUCCUCGCCUGAAUACUGCGUGCAUGGAAUAAUGGAAUAGGACCUCGGUUCUAUUUUGUUGGUUUUCGGAACCCCGAGGUAAUGAUUAAUAGGGACAGAUGGGGGCAUUCGUAUUGCGACGUUAGAGGUGAAAUUCUUGGAUCGUCGCAAGACGGACAGAAGCGAAAGCAUUUGCCAAAAAUGUUUUCAUUAAUCAAGAACGAAAGUUAGAGGUUCGAAGGCGAUCAGAUACCGCCCUAGUUCUAACCAUAAACGAUGCCAGCUAGCGAUCCGCCGAAGUUCCUCCGAUGACUCGGCGGGCAGCUUCCGGGAAACCAAAGCUUUUGGGUUCCGGGGGAAGUAUGGUUGCAAAGCUGAAACUUAAAGGAAUUGACGGAAGGGCACCACCAGGAGUGGAGCCUGCGGCUUAAUUUGACUCAACACGGGAAACCUCACCAGGCCCAGACACCGGAAGGAUUGACAGAUUGAUAGCUCUUUCUUGAUUCGGUGGGUGGUGGGUGCAUGGGCCGUUCUUAGUUGGUGGAGCGAUUUGUCUGGUUAAUUCCGAUAACGAACGAGACUCUAGCCUGCUAAAUAGGCGUACCUUAUGGUAUCGCGAAGGCCCCCGGCUUCGGCCGGUGGGUUUUUACUACCAACGUACAAACAAAUCUUCUUAGAGGGACAGGCGG
RNAcentral lists this ribosomal RNA (821 nucleotides) under uncultured eukaryote. RNAcentral describes it as "SSU rRNA". It matches the Rfam family "Eukaryotic small subunit ribosomal RNA", at positions 629 to 1426 of the family's 1831-position model. The record is from RNAcentral.